RNAcentral lists this ribosomal RNA (492 nucleotides) under uncultured bacterium. RNAcentral's name for it is "partial 16S ribosomal RNA". It matches the Rfam family "Bacterial small subunit ribosomal RNA", at positions 29 to 507 of the family's 1533-position model. The record is from RNAcentral.
AGUGAACGCUGGCGGUAGGCCUAACACAUGCAAGUCGAACGGCAGCACAGUAAGAGCUUGCUCUUACGGGUGGCGAGUGGCGGACGGGUGAGGAAUACAUCGGAAUCUACUUUUUCGUGGGGGAUAACGUAGGGAAACUUACGCUAAUACCGCAUACGACCUACGGGUGAAAGCAGGGGGUCUUCGGACCUUGCGCGAUUGAAUGAGCCGAUGUCGGAUUAGCUAGUUGGCGGGGUAAAGGCCCACCAAGGCGACGAUCCGUAGCUGGUCUGAGAGGAUGGUCAGCCACACUGGAACUGAGACACGGUCCAGACUCCUACGGGAGGCAGCAGUGGGGAAUAUUGGACAAUGGGCGCAAGCCUGAUCCAGCCAUACCGCGUGGGUGAAGAAGGCCUUCGGGUUGUAAAGCCCUUUUGUUGGGAAAGAAAAGCAGCAGGUUAAUACCCCGCUGUUCUGACGGUACCCAAAGAAUAAGCACCGGCUAACUUCGUG